This 253-nucleotide ribosomal RNA is filed under the name uncultured bacterium. RNAcentral's name for it is "partial 16S ribosomal RNA". It matches the Rfam family "Bacterial small subunit ribosomal RNA", at positions 524 to 776 of the family's 1533-position model. The record is from RNAcentral.
UACAGAGGUCUCAAGCGUUGUUCGGAUUCAUUGGGCGUAAAGGGUGCGUAGGUGGCGCUGUAAGUCGGGUGUGAAAUUUCGGAGCUUAACUCCGAAACUGCAUUCGAUACUGCGGUGCUUGAGGACUGGAGAGGAGACUGGAAUUCAUGGUGUAGCAGUGAAAUGCGUAGAGAUCAUGAGGAAGACCAGUGGCGAAGGCGGGUCUCUGGACAUUUCCUGACGCUGAGGCACGAAAGCCAGGGGAGCAAACGGG